GAUGAACGCUGGCGGUAUGCUUAACACAUGCAAGUCGAACGGACUCUUCGGAGUUAGUGGCGGACGGGUGAGUAACGCGUGAGAAUCUGGCUUUGGGUUCGGGACAACCACUGGAAACGGUGGCUAAUACCGGAUGUGCCGAGAGGUAAAAGAGAAAUUGCCUGAAGAUGAGCUCGCGUCUGAUUAGCUAGUUGGUGAGGUAAAGGCUCACCAAGGCAGCGAUCAGUAGCUGGUCUGAGAGGAUGACCAGCCACACUGGGACUGAGACACGGCCCAGACUCCUACGGGAGGCAGCAGGGGGGAAUUGUCCGCAAUGGGCGAAAGCCUGACGGAGCAGUACCGCGUGAGGGAAGAAGGCUCUUGGGUUGUAAACCUCUUUUCUUAGGGAAGAACAAAAUGACGGUACCUAAGGAAUCAGCAUCGGCUAACUCCGUG
RNAcentral lists this ribosomal RNA (435 nucleotides) under uncultured bacterium. RNAcentral's name for it is "partial 16S ribosomal RNA". It matches the Rfam family "Bacterial small subunit ribosomal RNA", at positions 28 to 507 of the family's 1533-position model. The record is from RNAcentral.